CCUACGGGAGGCAGCAGUGAGGAAUCUUGGUCAAUGGACGAGAGUCUGAACCAGCCAAGUAGCGUGAAGGAUGACUGCCCUAUGGGUUGUAAACUUCUUUUAUAUGGGAAUAAAAUGUUCCACGUGUGGGAUUUUGUAUGUACCAUAUGAAUAAGGAUCGGCUAACUCCGUGCCAGCAGCCGCGGUAAUACGGAGGCUCCGAGCGUUAUCCGGUUUUAUUUGGUUUAAAGGGAGCGUAGGUGGAUUGUUAAGUCAGGUGUGUAAGUUUGCGGCUCAAACGUAAAAUUGCAGUUGAAACUGGCAGUCUUGAGUACAGUAGAGGUGGGCGGAAUUCGAGGUGUAGCGGUGAAAUGCUUAGAUAUAACGAAGAACUCCGAUUGCGAAGGCAGCUCACUGGACUGCAACUGACACUGAGGCUCGAAAGUGUGGGUAUCAAACAGGAUUAGAUACCCGAGUAGUC
Molecule: ribosomal RNA, 460 nt
Filed under: uncultured bacterium
Lineage: Bacteria
Description: partial 16S ribosomal RNA
Rfam family: Bacterial small subunit ribosomal RNA
Source: RNAcentral